UAUUGGGCAAUGGAGGAAACUCUGACCCAGCCAUGCCGCGUGAGUGAAGAGGGUUUUCGGAUUGUAAAGCUCUUUCGCACGGGACGAUGAUGACGGUACCGUGAUAAGAAGCCCCGGCUAACUUCGUGCCAGCAGCCGCGGUAAUACGAAGGGGGCAAGCGUUGUUCGGAAUUACUGGGCGUAAAGGGAGUGUAGGCGGUUAUGUAAGAUAGCGGUGAAAUGCCGGGGCUCAACCUCGGAAUUGCCGUUAUAACUAUGUAACUAGAAUGAUAGAGAGGGUAGCGGAAUACCCAGUGUAGAGGUGAAAUCCGUAGAUAUUGGGUAGAACACCGGUGGCGAAGGCGGCUAUCUGGCUAUAAAUUGACGCUGAGGCUCGAAAGCAUGGGGAUCAAACAGG
This 397-nucleotide ribosomal RNA is filed under the name uncultured bacterium. RNAcentral's name for it is "bacterial SSU rRNA". It matches the Rfam family "Bacterial small subunit ribosomal RNA", at positions 362 to 776 of the family's 1533-position model. The record is from RNAcentral.